Bos taurus (domestic cattle) is the source of this 910-nucleotide long non-coding RNA. The record is from Ensembl. Lineage: Eukaryota; Metazoa; Chordata; Mammalia; Artiodactyla; Bovidae.
GCUUAUGUGUCCAAAGCAAAGUCUUGGAGCACACCCCAUGGUGUCCGGCAGACAGCAGGCAGGGCCUGGCAGGGGCUUCACUCCCAGGAGCAGGGGGAGAUUACCACUUAUAGGGGCACUUACAUCAGCUUGACUCAUCAGUUACCAGGGAAACCAGAAGUGGGGACCACCCCUGACUGCCCAUUAGAUAAGAACAACGGGCCUGGGGCAAGUAUGUACGAAGGUUACACCAAGUGGCACACAGGUUUCUUAGUACGCAGUGUGGUGCCCCAAGGAUGAAAGAACAAGGAAAAAACAGUGACCCAGUCCACCUCUCCUAUUCCCCAACAUUAUGAAGUCUGCUUUCAGUCUUCCUCACUCAGAAACUGUCUUUGCUGCAUUCAUCAGUAGCCUCUUCAUUGAGAAAGCAGCUGGGCCCCGUAGAGUCUCUUCACAGGCACGGCUGUUGAUUAUUUCACCUGACAUGCUGCCAUCUAGGCCUCCCCAACAGCACUCUGACCUGGUUUUGCAAGGAGCUUCUCAGACCACUAAACCCCUUUCCCAUGUCAGAGCCUCCUUUUAAGUCCCCCAAACAUAGGAGUUGCUAAGUGUUCUGAUGCUGAUCCCACUGCCUCCCUUCCAUCUAGAAUCUUGCUCCUCAAUGUGGUCUUUCUGGACAAGUAGGAUUGGCUUCCUUGAGAGCCUGUUAGAAAUGCAGACUCUUAGGUCUACCCUGGACUUCCUGUAUCAGAAGCUGCAUUUUAAUUUAGAUCCGCAAGUGACUCAUCUGCACAUUAAGAUUUAAGAGGUGCUGAUCUAUGGCAGCACUAAGAAAGAGAAAUACAAUGCACACCACGUGUAUUUUGAAACUUCUUGUAGCCACAUUUAAAAACAUGAAAAGAAACAUGUGAAAUUAAUUGUCAUCAUGUAG